RNAcentral lists this ribosomal RNA (427 nucleotides) under uncultured bacterium. RNAcentral's name for it is "bacterial SSU rRNA". It matches the Rfam family "Bacterial small subunit ribosomal RNA", at positions 355 to 796 of the family's 1533-position model. The record is from RNAcentral.
CCGAGAAUAUUCGACAAUGGGCGAAAGCCUGAUCGAGCGAUACCGCGUGGUGGAUGAAGUGCUUCGGCACGUAAACACCUUUUAUGAGGGAGGAAGUUAUUGACGUUACCUCAUGAAUAAGGGGCUCCUAACUCUGUGCCAGCAGGAGCGGUAAUACAGAGGCCCCGAGCAUUACCCGGAAUUACUGGGCGUAAAGGGUGCGUAGGUGGUCGUAUUAGUCGUCUGUUAAAAACCGUGGCUCAACUGCGGGGAUGCAGGCGAAACGGUACGACUCGAGGGCGUGAGAGGUGCAUAGAACUCUAGGUGUAGGGGUGAAAUCCGUUGAUAUCUAGGGGAAUACCGAAAGCGAAGGCAGUGCACUGGCGCGUUCCUGACACUCAAGCACGAAAGCGUGGGUAGCGAACGGGAUUAGAUACCCCCGUAGUCC